This 72-nucleotide transfer RNA is filed under the name Fukomys damarensis (Damara mole-rat). It matches the Rfam family "tRNA". Rfam says of the family: Transfer RNA (tRNA) molecules are approximately 80 nucleotides in length. Their secondary structure includes four short double-helical elements and three loops (D, anti-codon, and T loops). Lineage: Eukaryota; Metazoa; Chordata; Mammalia; Rodentia; Bathyergidae. The record is from Rfam by way of RNAcentral.
GGGGAUGUGGCUCAGUAGUACAGCACUUGUCUAGCAUGUGUGAAGCCCUGGGUUUGAUUCCCAGCACUGCCA